This 468-nucleotide ribosomal RNA is filed under the name uncultured bacterium. RNAcentral's name for it is "partial 16S ribosomal RNA". It matches the Rfam family "Bacterial small subunit ribosomal RNA", at positions 28 to 507 of the family's 1533-position model. The record is from RNAcentral.
GACGAACGCUGGCGGCGUGCCUAAUACAUGCAAGUCGAACGGACAGGCGCUGCUCUUGCUGCGUUCUCGAGUGGCGAACGGGUGAGUAACACGCGAGUAUCCUGCCCCUGUCAUUCGGAUAACUUUACGAAACUGGGGCUAAUAUCGGAUAUGAGCUCCUGCUGCAUGGUGGUGGUUGGAAAGUUUCGGCUGUUGUGGAUGGUCUCGCGGCUUAUCCGCUUGAUGGUGGGGUAGUGGCUUACCAAGGCUUUGAAGGGUAGCCGGCCUGAGAGGGUGAACGGCGACAUUGGGACUGAGAGACGGCCCAGACUCCUACGGGAGGCAGCAGGGGGGAAUCUUGCAGAAUGGGCGGAAGCCUGAUGAAGAAACGCCGCGUGCGGGAUAACGGCCUUCGGGUGGAAAACCAAUUUCGCAUGUAACGAAGCGUGAGUGACGGUAAUGGGUAAAGAAGCACCGGCUAACUACGUG